GCCGGAGUGGCGGAAUUGGCAGACGCGCCGGAUUCAAAAUCCGGUCCUGGCAACAGGGUGAAGGUUCGAUUCCUUUCUCCGGCA
This 84-nucleotide transfer RNA is filed under the name Oligoflexia bacterium. Its description in RNAcentral is "tRNA-Leu". It matches the Rfam family "tRNA". From Rfam's summary of the family: Transfer RNA (tRNA) molecules are approximately 80 nucleotides in length. The record is from RNAcentral. Lineage: Bacteria; Pseudomonadati; Bdellovibrionota; Oligoflexia.